UGCCUGCCUCCCUGUGUCUCCUCCCCUGCGUGUGCUCUCCCUCUCUCUCUCCCUCUGCUCCUGAGCCCAGCCAACGACCCGCGCCUGCACCUCGUCAGCCACCUCCUCUGAAAGCAGUCAGCCUCACCUCUGAAAGUACUUCUACCCCGGUUCUCCAGUCAACCCCUGCUUGAUCGUUGUUGCUCCUUACACGGUUCACUCACCUCCGUCCUCCGUUCCAUCAGCUGGGCUAGCCACCCUGCCCUCUCCCCUUGGACCUCUUCCACGGCGUCCUCCCGGCUCCUCCCCGUGCCUCCUUACUUCCUCGGUCCCCAGUGCCCCCCCCCCUUGUCUCAGUCUCCUUGGUUCCCCGUGCCUGUGUUUCCCCGGCGUCCUCCACUCCCUCAACCCCUUUUCCCCUUCAAUAAAGCCUGUUCUUCCCGAG
Micropterus dolomieu (smallmouth bass) is the source of this 424-nucleotide long non-coding RNA. RefSeq lists it as uncharacterized. Lineage: Eukaryota; Metazoa; Chordata; Actinopteri; Centrarchiformes; Centrarchidae. The record is from RefSeq and is a predicted model, not a curated record. The transcript has 2 exons.